GACGAACGCUGGCGGCGUGCUUAACACAUGCAAGUCGAGCGGUAAGGCCCUUUCGGGGGUACACGAGCGGCGAACGGGUGAGUAACACGUGGGUGACCUGCCCUUAGCUCUGGGAUAAGCCUGGGAAACUGGGUCUAAUACCGGAUAUGACUCCAUGACGCAUGUUGUGGGGUGGAAAGCCUUGUGCGGCUAGGGAUGGGCCCGCGGCCUAUCAGCUUGUUGGUGGGGUGAUGGCCUACCAAGGCGACGACGGGUAGCCGGCCUGAGAGGGCGACCGGCCACACUGGGACUGAGACACGGCCCAGACUCCUACGGGAGGCAGCAGUGGGGAAUCUUGCGCAAUGGGCGAAAGCCUGACGCAGCGACGCCGCGUGAGGGAUGACGGCCUU
Molecule: ribosomal RNA, 389 nt
Filed under: uncultured bacterium
Lineage: Bacteria
Description: bacterial SSU rRNA
Rfam family: Bacterial small subunit ribosomal RNA
Source: RNAcentral